UACGUAGGGUGCAAGCGUUACUCGGAAUUACUGGGCGUAAAGCGUGCGCAGGCGGUUUUGCAAGACAGAUGUGAAAUCCCCGGGCUCAACCUGGGAACUGCAUUUGUGACUGCAUGGCUAGAGUGCGGCAGAGGGGGAUGGAAUUCCGCGUGUAGCAGUGAAAUGCGUAGAUAUGCGGAGGAACACCGAUGGCGAAGGCAAUCCCCUGGGCCUGCACUGACGCUCAUGCACGAAAGCGUGGGGAGCAAACAGG
This 253-nucleotide ribosomal RNA is filed under the name uncultured bacterium. RNAcentral describes it as "partial 16S ribosomal RNA". It matches the Rfam family "Bacterial small subunit ribosomal RNA", at positions 524 to 776 of the family's 1533-position model. The record is from RNAcentral.